Non-coding RNA from Paramisgurnus dabryanus, 5299 nucleotides. NCBI's taxonomy places the organism in Eukaryota, Metazoa, Chordata, Actinopteri, Cypriniformes, Cobitidae. The record is from RefSeq and is a predicted model, not a curated record.
CAUUCUAAAAGAAACCAUUACAAAAAUAAGGAAAAAUUAAUUUUACAAACUAUGUCAUAUGUUUUCUUUGUUUCCUCAAUAUAACUCUGAUUAGAAUGUCAAACAAAGAUAAAAUCAUCCGUAUUAAUCGUCAAUAUCGUGUAUAUUAUUAAUAUGAGCGUCUUUGCGUUAAAUUCGUGCUACACCACACCAUGCACUUAUAUCGACGUCGCAAUGCAAAAGAAGAAGGGCAAGAAAGAAACCUGUCCUGGUCUGGCGAUUUAAGGGGACAUUUGUUUAAGCCUGUCUUGAUCUUUUAUCAGUCUAGAAAGAUGUUGGAGAAAAGACAUCAUCCUCUUCUAUAAUCUCCAUCUGUAAUUGGACUAACAACUGGACCAGUGAAUGCAGGCAACUUACUCUCCAUUCGACCUUGCAGGUCACACCAUGGUCUCAAGAGGGAAAAUGAGUGCUCUAUGGAUUGAACAGAAAAAGGUGAAUCAAAACUCCAACAUCUGUAUGAGGGUCUGGAUGGAUAAAGGAUGCCCACUGGAGCUGGAAAUGAUGGAUCAGGUCAUUUUCAUUUGUCACAUUUACAAAGAAGCACACUCUAAGGAUUGCGUUACCCUGUCUGUGGCAAAUACACUAGACAAAAGUAUUGGGAGGCCUCAUUCUAAUAAACAUGUUUAUUUAUUCCAGUAUGUCCAAUCAAAACAAAUAAAAAUGCUAUACCAUAUAAUACCACUACAAAGAAUUUUGAUUUUUGUUGCAACAGUUUUGUAAGUGCCUUUUUCUGUUCCGAAAUGACUACAGCUUCUUGUACAAGUCAUUGAUAGGUUUAGGUGAUGAGUUUUUGGCUAAAAACCUUUGAGUCAUAUCAAAGGUGUUAGCUGAGUUAAGGUCUAUUCAGACCAGUCAAAGUUCUUCCACACCAGACUGAAUCACUAAUUUUCUGUUUGAACCUUACUUUGUUUGUAGGGUCAUUCUUAAGUUGGUAUUGAAAAGGGCCCUGCCAAAACUCUUGCUAUAAAUUUAGCAUCAAACGGUUUUUCUAGAAUAUCAUAUGCUGUAGCAUUAAGAUUUGUGCUCAUGGAAAUAUGUAAAGUAUUUAAACCUGUUUAUUAGAAGGAGGUGUCGCAAUACUUAUGUCUAUAUAGUUUAUGUUUAACAAGCCAAAAUAACUAGGGCUGCUUCUUUUUAAGAACUUUUGGUUAUUUUUAAAUCAGCCAGAGGAAUAACAGUCCUUAAAUGUGUAAUGUACUGCCAUAAUCUUGUAAUGAUCAAACGUGAGGUCAGAUUCUUGUUAACCUACUGUGUUCUUUCUUGAUGGUUAGCCGAGUGUCCCAGGACAGAAAAUCUGUUUCGUAUGGAUCAGAGUCAGACAUGAACAUCUAAUAUGUAAUAUCUAGUGAUAUGUUUUCUUAGAUAAUGCUGUGAACAAAUGCUCUUUUACCUUGAAUAUUAGGUGGAUCCACACUUGAACCAUCUGUAUGAUGAUCUGCACCCACUGGAUCUGUAAAUGGUGGUGCAGGUAAGUUUCACAAGUAAACAAACUCAAAUCCUAUUCAGACCAUUCAUGAUUCCAGCAAUAACCAAGUUUUUUCGUAACAAUAAGACUGCAUUUACAAUGCAAAUCUUAAUGCACAGAUCAUAUUUUUUUGACUAUAUUCAUUUUUUGUUCUGAUCUUUUUAUAUUUACAUAAGACACUAUUCAUAUCUGAUAUCGGUGUUACAAUAAUUUGCAAAACUACAGUUAAUAUGAGUGUCAUAAUUUGCCCUUGAGUUUUGUAUCGACUUAAGCCAGGGUCACUGCCAAUUUAGGCAUGUUUUAAUUAUGACACUUAAACAAUUGUAUAUGUACUUCGAUAAAGGUUUUUGCAAUCAUGGAAACAUAAGUGAAUUGCAGACAGCAUUCUUCUUUUACGAAUGUAAAAUGGCUGGAGUAGUGAUGUCACUAGCUAAAUUAAUUUUCAUUUGACCUCCCCCACAGAAAGACACAGCACAUCAUUAUAUCGUUGGCUCCGCCCACUGGUGUUCAGUCUAAAGUAGUAGUUGUUGACAAUCAUAAAGUUGUAAUAACAGUAAGAUUGUGAUGUCAGACAAACAUUGUGCUGUUGCUGGCUGUGGGAAAUUAGUGUCUUUGUAAGGGUCGCAAAUAAUUUGAAAAUAUUUAUGUUUCUAAAUAUGCCCCCCUACCAUGAACUAAACUGGACUGUUGCAGAGACCAAGUGUAGUAGGGUACACUACUAUGCAGGUGACAUUCUUUUGUUUAUUGAAGCUAUGACAAAUAAUUUGUCUGUUUAGUUAAUGUUUUAUACAGUGUAACUGUACCUAAACAUUGUUCCUUGAGGUCCUCUGCUAUUUACAUUUUGUAUGUCUUCCUUAUUUAACACACCUUAUUCAAAUCAUCAGCUCAUUAGUAGAGAUCUUCAUGAACUGAACUGAGGCUGUGUCCAAAUGUUCACACUUGUUGUCUUUGCACUAGACUACUUACAUUACGGGUUUUUUUUUUUUGUAUUUGGCCUAAGUAUUCUAGUGGGCGUGAAGAUCCCAAGCGUGCAUGUAGAAUUAUUCAUCCGAUGGGACACACUUAGCAUGGGUAAAAAUUUCAAUCCAGGUAGUGCCAGCAAUUUGCACCAAAACGUAUUUGUGUUUUAUUUACUACUUUUAAUUUAUAUUUAACAUUUUUAAGUUUUUCUGUAAAUAAAAUGAACACUCUGAAAUGAACAUUUGCUUAUAUCAAACUUUUAGAUGCAGAAUUCUUUGCUCCUGUAAAAAAGCUCUUUGUUUUGAGUAUGUAGCUUUAUUAAAGUGUAUUAUUUAUUCAGUAGUCCCUAAAUAAACGACACAAUGUUGCAGAUGUUUCACAAAAUGCAUAACAAUAAUGCAGUGAACACCAUAGAAAUGUUAACAUACAAUUAAAAGUCUCAUGCUUUACAUCCAGAACAUGAUGCACGAUAGGAUGCACAAAGUGAUAUUUGGACGCAGCCUCAGUCUGUCAAAUCAAAGAGACAUACAGAAUGCACAGAGCAGUGGGACUCCAUGAACAGAGUUGAGAACCACUGCUGUAACUCAUUAUGCUUACCUGACUCAUGCAGAAUUCUGGCCUGGUGUUUGGUCCCCCUUUCUCUGGCUUGUGUCUCCAUCAUCAUUACACUCUUGUCAGUGUAAAAGUAUCGUCGUCUGCGUACCAGGACUUUGUUACUCAGCUGUCCCUUCUCCUUCAAGCUACAUUUUUGUCAAGCUGCAACAAGUUGGAAUACAUAAUUAUUAACGUUUAAUGAUUUUGAUGUAUGAAAUAUGUAACAAAAGCAAAAAAUGUAUAGACAUUCUAUUAAGAAAUUACCUUUUUGUUGUUUGUUUACUGACCUUUCAACCAUAUUGCAUUUAUAAUUGAUCAUCAUACCUUUGGUCUACUGUUAACAGGUUACUGUAGAAAACAAAGUCAAACAAAAAAGAGAGAAAAAAUUAUAAAUGCUGAAUGUGUCUCAUCUUAAAUACAUUGUUGUUGUUUUUGUUUCAUUGAUUUUGGAUGUUUUGAUGAUUUAAGGAAAAUUUACGUAGCAUAUAUAUUGAUGUUUUAAAUCAGAGUUUGUUAAUGACACUUAAUCAUUAACAAACAUUUAAAAAGCUUUAUUACAAUACUAAUUGAUAAUAUAUAUGUAAUAAUCUUGUUUUGUAACACCCUAAAUCACUGAGCGCACAAACGCUACCCCUGUUACAAGCAUGAGUGAUUGACUUCAGGCACACAUGCGCAGACAUUGAAGUACCGCGAGAGUGAUUCAAAAGCCCACGAAACAGUGUAAUCACGCGGUACUGUGAUGUCAUACUGGUUAAGGCUAAGCCACGUGAAGCCGGACACAAGGGCUUUGGGCUGGAGUAGCCUGUGGCUUUUAAGGCUUCGUGUCUCAUCGCGUUAAACGAUCGCAGAACGAUUUAUUUCUCUUUUUCACCUCGAUCUUUGGCCUCGUGUGAUUUACCAAAACCAACAUGUGAAGUUACAACGCUGACGAAGGAGUUUCAUCAGUAGAGUGUGUCCUGGAAAACGUGUGCUCGGAAACAUGCAGAAUACAGGAUUUACAGAGCCGACCUUGAGGCACCCACUGAUGGAUAAUCUGUUUACCUAAAAACAGCCCACCACAAUCCAUGUUUACCAGCUGUGAAAGUGCAGGCCAAAAAUCUUCCUUCACCUGUGGGCCUCUACCCACAUGUAGAUAAGCACUUCAGGAGAAACCUGCCUGUGAUCUGCUAAGAUGCACAGAUUCAACUCUGGCCCAUUGUCAUCCCAACACCUCAUCUGCCAUCAGUUUCGUUUAGUGUCGGUCUAUUGCAAAAGUUCUUAUAAACUUUAAAUGAGACUUUGUGUUAAGCAGGGGUUUCCAAACUUUUCAUUCCACAACAUAUUAAGCCCAGGAUACACAGCAGGAUUUUUGCAAUCCAAUAAGACCUUAUCACACUGUGUGACAAGGAUUGUUUAAACUUCAGCAGUAGACUGUCGAUGAAGACACCUAUUGCAUCUGAAGCUGCGACAUCUGUCAUCAACAUGCGCUAGUGGUAAACAAAUACAGGUAUGCAGGUCGUAGAAGCAAACACAUUGUUGAUGUGCGUUGAUCAUGCUGAACUUCUUACACUGUCAUAAAACUAUCGUAGGUGUCUUUGGUCCCAGGACUGGGAAAACAGACGUCUUUAAACCUCUCACACUGUAUGAGAUAGGACCACCAAUUAAGAGCCACGAUCACAGAAAUCUCCACAAUUGUUUCACGAUUGGUAAUCUUUCAUCUGGGACAGCCAAAAAUCGUGCCGUGUAUUAUGGGCUUUAGACAGGUGUAAUCUUAUAGUAUAUCAAAACCAUUGCUAAUAAUUAAUUGGACAAACCAUUACUACAAUGCAACACUCACUAUCUUACGGUGCGACCCACAAGUGGGUCUUCACCCACAGUUUAAAAACCCUGAGUAUGAGAAAGAGUAUGUUGUAUUGUAAUUAAAGUCACAUCUAAGUGUUAUGGAACAGUUUGUCAUUAUAUUCACAGUAUUACAUGGUUCUUUCAGCAGUUACUACGUUACAGUGCUCUUAAAGUGUCCUGAUCAGCUUUGGGUCUUGUGAAGUAAUGUAAUGAGAACGUGAUCAAUAGCUUUGCAGUAUUUUGUUACACUGUGGCUGUAAUCAUAUUAACACAUAGGUUAAACAUUUUAUUCAAAUUUGGUAAACAAACUAGUCAAUAUAAUUCAUGCUGUGAUGCUGGAUUAAACCUGGUCAAAUGAUUGUGUAUUGUGUUUUCAAUUUUUAUGAGGUUUCUUCAUCUAUAUAAACAUUCUUAAUAUCA